CACAGGCAGAGUUUUUACGGAGCAUACAGACCGUGGCGCAGCAGAGCUGGAGUACAAAGCACAGAUGUGAAGGAUCCAGACCAUUUGUCCUGAACCUCAGUCUCUCCUCUGUAUACAGAACGACUGCACAAUUUACAAGUGUCCCACCAUGUUCACCUGUCUGGGAAUGGACUCUGUGAGAUCAACCUGACUUGCUCUGUGGAGAACCCAAAUGAGGCUGUCUCAUUUGGGUGGCAGGUCUCAGAAACUACCUCUCUAAGUGAACCAAACCUCACUGUCUUCUGGGAUCCCGAGAAUUCCAGUGAUGAGAGCUACAUGUGCAUAGCAGAGAACCCUGUCAGCAAUUUAUCUUGCCCAGUCUCUGCCAAGAGUCUCUGCAAAGAUAUUUUAACUAAAGAAAAUCUAUACUGGAAUGAUCUACUCUGGAUUAUAAUCUGUGGGAUACUUAUAAUCAUCAUUGUGUUGAUACUUGCUUGCAGGAAAAGAACAGGAUCCCUUCAUUUGCUUACUCAGCAAACUCAGCAUCCUGCAGAGACAUCAGAGGACAUAGAGCUUGCUUCCAUCUCUCCAGGGAGCACUGUGUAUGCGCAGGUCACUCAUCCAUACCGGGAAAUGGAAAUCCUAACACAUAUAAAAAGCAGUGAUUCUGUUACAAUCUAUUCCACAAUUAAUCAUUCCAAACAGAAUAAGCCCACUUCUCCCAGAGCAACUGCACUUUAACACCAUCAAGUUGCAGAUAAGCUUCAAAGAAAUUUAGGAAUGAUGGGUCUCCUGAUACCAUGGAAGACAAAAAAAAAAGAAGAAGAAGAAGAAGAAACUUGGUUUUUUGCCUAAUAACAGAAUCUGAAUCCCAGGCAGGAUCACCACAUCCAGUCUUCAGUCUUGAGCCUGUUUACUAGGCCAAACACUUAAGGAGUAACAUCACCUCCAGGAUAUGAACCAAGUAAUGAUUUCCAGUUGACUCCAGGACAACGCGUGCUUUGUAACACAC
RNAcentral lists this long non-coding RNA (991 nucleotides) under Fukomys damarensis (Damara mole-rat). RNAcentral describes it as "lncRNA (ENSFDAG00000027033.1)". Lineage: Eukaryota; Metazoa; Chordata; Mammalia; Rodentia; Bathyergidae. The record is from RNAcentral.